GACGAACGCUGGCGGCGUGCCUAAUACAUGCAAGUAGGACGCAGUUGCGAACGGGUAAGUAACGCGUAGGUAACUGCCUCUUAGCGGGGGAUAACUAUUGGAACCGAUAGCUAAUACCGCCUCCUAGUAGGUGGACCUGCGUUGUAUUAGCUAGUAGGUAGGGGAAUUGCCUACCUAGGCUACGAUACAUAGCCGACGUGAGAGGGGGACAGGCACCACUGGGACUGAGACACGGCCCAGACCCCUAAGGGAGGCAGCAGUAGGGAAUCUUCGGCAAUGGGGGGAACCCUGACCGAGCAACGCCGCGUGAGUGAAGAAGGUUUUCGGAUCGUAAAGCUCUGUUGUUAAGGAAGCGGUACUUAACCAGAAAGGGACGGCUAACUACGUGCCAGCAGCCGCGGUAAAAC
Molecule: ribosomal RNA, 407 nt
Filed under: uncultured bacterium
Lineage: Bacteria
Description: partial 16S ribosomal RNA
Rfam family: Bacterial small subunit ribosomal RNA
Source: RNAcentral